Molecule: unclassified non-coding RNA, 293 nt
Filed under: Hevea brasiliensis (rubber tree)
Lineage: Eukaryota; Viridiplantae; Streptophyta; Magnoliopsida; Malpighiales; Euphorbiaceae
Source: RNAcentral
CGACGACAGGGUUGUGGCUAGAUAGCUAGGCGUGGUUGUUAUGGAUUUUUUCUUGGAGAUAGGCAAUGGAUGGUAGAACAAGAAAUUAAAGAGGCCACCUUGCUCACUCAUAUCUUUAGCAUUUUUAGUUGAAGAAGUAGGAGGAGUGAAUAGAUUUUUGGAGUGGGGACUGUGGCUAUAGCUUAACGUACUUAUUGGGACCAAAAAGCAAAUCAGCCAACGGACUGGGAAAUUAUAGGAAUGUCCUCAAAGUUGAAGGGUGGACCAAGGGGCAGUGGCGCAUGCUAGGUAUG